UUCAUCGAUUGUAUCAUGUUCCUGC
RNAcentral lists this non-coding RNA (25 nucleotides) under Mus musculus (house mouse). Lineage: Eukaryota; Metazoa; Chordata; Mammalia; Rodentia; Muridae. The record is from RNAcentral.